Oryza glumipatula is the source of this 202-nucleotide non-coding RNA. NCBI's taxonomy places the organism in Eukaryota, Viridiplantae, Streptophyta, Magnoliopsida, Poales, Poaceae. The record is from Rfam.
UUAAAGUGUGUUGGGGGAUUUUUUUUUCAACAUUUAACCGUCCGUGUUAUUUGAAAUUUUUUUAUGAUUAAUAUUCUAUUGUUAUUAGAUGAUAAAAUAUGAAUAGUAUUUUAUGCGUGAUUAUUUUUAAAACCUUUUCAUAAUUUUUUAAAAAAGAUGGACUGUUAAACGUUGGAUACAGAAAUCAACAGCUAAAUUUAAA